This 492-nucleotide ribosomal RNA is filed under the name uncultured bacterium. Its description in RNAcentral is "partial 16S ribosomal RNA". It matches the Rfam family "Bacterial small subunit ribosomal RNA", at positions 29 to 507 of the family's 1533-position model. The record is from RNAcentral.
AGUGAACGCUGGCGGUAGGCCUAACACAUGCAAGUCGAACGGCAGCACAGUAAGAGCUUGCUCUUACGGGUGGCGAGUGGCGGACGGGUGAGGAAUACAUCGGAAUCUACUUUUUCGUGGGGGAUAACGUAGGGAAACUUACGCUACUACCUCAUACGACCUACGGGUUAAAGCAGGGGAUCUUCGGACCUUGCGCGAUUGAAUGAGCUGAUGUCGGAUUAGCUAGUUGGCGGGGUAAAGGCCCACCAAGGCGACGAUCCGUAGCUGGUCUGAGAGGAUGAUCAGCCACACUGGAACUGAGACACGGUCCAGACUCCUACGGGAGGCAGCAGUGGGGAAUAUUGGACAAUGGGCGCAAGCCUGAUCCAGCCAUACCGCGUGGGUGAAGAAGGCCUUCGGGUUGUAAAGCCCUUUUGUUGGGAAAGAAAAGAAGCAGGUUAAUACCCCGCUGUUCUGACGGUACCCAAAGAAUAAGCACCGGCUAACUUCGUG